RNAcentral lists this antisense RNA (69 nucleotides) under Mycobacterium lentiflavum. RNAcentral describes it as "ASpks". It matches the Rfam family "ASpks TB sRNA". Lineage: Bacteria; Bacillati; Actinomycetota; Actinomycetes; Mycobacteriales; Mycobacteriaceae. The record is from RNAcentral.
CUUGAUCGAGCCCAGCCACAGCGGCUCGGUACGAUCCUGGCCGUAGGUCGCCAACAACGCUUGGGCCUC